GAUGAACGCUGGCGGCGUGCCUAAUACAUGCAAGUCGAGCGAACAGACGAGGAGCUUGCUCCUCUGACGUUAGCGGCGGACGGGUGAGUAACACGUGGAUAACCUACCUAUAAGACUGGGAUAACUUCGGGAAACCGGAGCUAAUAACGGAUAAUAUAUUGAACCGCAUGGUUCAAUAGUGAAAGACGGUUUUGCUGUCACAUAUAGAUGGUUCCGCGCCGCAUUAGCUAGUUGGUAAGGUAACGGCUUACCAAGGCAACGAUGCGUAGCCGACCUGAGAGGGUGAUCGGCCACACUGGAACUGAGACACGGUCCAGACUCCUACGGGAGGCAGCAGUAGGGAAUCUUCCGCAAUGGGCGAAAGCUUGACGGAGCAACGCCGCGUGAGUGAUGAAGGUCUUCGGAUCGUAAAACUCUGUUAUUAGGGAAGAACAAAUGUGUAAGUAACUAUGCACGUCUUGACGGUACCUAAUCAGAAAGCCACGGCUAACUACGUG
Molecule: ribosomal RNA, 497 nt
Filed under: uncultured bacterium
Lineage: Bacteria
Description: partial 16S ribosomal RNA
Rfam family: Bacterial small subunit ribosomal RNA
Source: RNAcentral